AAUAGAGAGAGAGAGAGAGAGAGAGAGAGAGAGUAGAGCUACUAUUCUUAUGAGUAUUGGGUCCUUCAUACUCAUAAGUUGUUUUUGAUGAUGGGGCUUCCGAAUCGACGAUCCACUCCGUUAAAUAUGAUCUAGAGUAUUUGAAACUUCUAAAAAAUAAAUUUCGUAAUUUUUCAAAAUUAUAAUAAAGUCCAUCAAACGAGUUUAAAAUGAACAGUCAAAAUCGAACGAUGUUCUAAAAAUGGAUGAUCGAAUCCUUCAAUUUAAUAUCGGAGUUAUUGAUCUUUAUCUAGGUAGUGAAUAGAAUUUUCUAUCAAAAAUGCAACCUAUUCUGAUUCUUUUAUACCGUUAAAUUAGCAAGUAUCUCAUACCGGUCGUUAAAAAUUGUUAAUUUUGUGAGCUUUUGAUCGUAAAGCAAAUGAUGUCGAAAAAUUUUUAUAAGUCCGGCUAUUUAUGAAUAUAAAAAUUUUUAUACUUAUAAGUUUUUAACCGUUAAAUUUACUUUUUAAUCAUUUUCACUCGUUAGAUCAAAUUAUUCAACCAAUCAUUCAUUCAACUCUAGAAGAUCACUAUCAUUCUAACCAAAUUCACUAUCAUCCUAGCUGCACGUUUUUUUAUUUAAUAAUUAAAAAUUUAUGAAUAUAAAGAGAUCUUAUACACGUAAGAGUAUAAUAAUUUUAGCCUAUGUAUACAUUAUUAAAUCGUAAAGUAGGUGGUUAA
This 720-nucleotide long non-coding RNA is filed under the name Ananas comosus (pineapple). Its description in RNAcentral is "long non-coding RNA (ACOM_LNC014433)". Lineage: Eukaryota; Viridiplantae; Streptophyta; Magnoliopsida; Poales; Bromeliaceae. The record is from RNAcentral.